Molecule: long non-coding RNA, 918 nt
Filed under: Apteryx owenii (little spotted kiwi)
Lineage: Eukaryota; Metazoa; Chordata; Aves; Apterygiformes; Apterygidae
Description: lncRNA (ENSAOWG00000010223.1)
Source: RNAcentral
AUGUUUCAAGAUUCAUUAAAACUGAGUAUUUCUAGGCCAAAAUGUUCUCCAUUAUCUCUUUAGGUCUCUUGGCUGCAAGUUAUCCAGAUUUGCUGAUUUUCAAAAUACUCAUUCUGAGUCAGUGUGGUUUAAUAUAGCUCAUUUUUAUGAGUGGAAAAAAGGGGUAUAUGCACUUCAGCCUUCUGCCUUCCAAACAUAGGACCAACAACUGAUUCUCACUUCCCUAAAGAAGAAAACCACAUCUGUGCUCUCUGAAGAUGAAAAAUGUAUAAAACAUGGUUCUUGAGGAGUAAGUUGUGGGCACGAUAUGAAGCCAGUCUCUAGCUCUGAUGCUGAAAAUUGUUGUUCUUUUGUGCUGGUGGUGUAUCCAGCUAUCACUUCUGUCCUCCUCACUCUCCUUACCUUCUUGUCUCAUGGAAUUGGUCUGGCCUAUCUACUUCCUGCUGUUUGCCACAAUGAAAUGAAUUCAGGAGAGAAGAUUAUGAAACCAACUUCAAAAGAAAUUUCACCCUCCAUGAGGAUCUUGUAUAAACUCUCAGACCUGUUGAUAAAACAGUAAAGAAAAAACUCCAAGCCUCUAUGGUGAAGGCUUCAGCUUUCUCAUAGCAUAUGAUAAAUACCCUUAUUAUAGUCAACACUUCUUGCCUGUGAUGGCCACUGGCACUAACAUAGACUUGCUCUUGGUCCUAAACAGAAAAAGAAGUCGGACAAGGGCAGAGCGUAUACAUGACUACGUCACUGCAGUGCUCCUUGAAGAGUUACUGCCAACUGCUUUGUUCUUAGCGCUGCACCCAUGGCCAGCCAGUGAGAUGAAUAAUUCUCUGACAAGAUUUAAUUCCUCUACUUAAUAUCCCCCUUUGGAUUGUCUCGUAGUAACUUCAUUUUAAGUGGUGUGAAGAAUGACAAAUAAAACACUUG